Molecule: ribosomal RNA, 578 nt
Filed under: uncultured bacterium
Lineage: Bacteria
Description: bacterial SSU rRNA
Rfam family: Bacterial small subunit ribosomal RNA
Source: RNAcentral
ACGGGUGAGUAACACGUAGGCAACCUGCCCUCAAGCUUGGGACAACUACCGGAAACGGUAGCUAAUACCGAAUACUUGUUUUCUUCGCCUGAAGGAAAUUGGAAAGACGGAGCAAUCUGUCACUUGGGGAUGGGCCUGCGGCGCAUUAGCUAGUUGGUGAGGUAACGGCUCACCAAGGCGACGAUGCGUAGCCGACCUGAGAGGGUGAUCGGCCACACUGGGACUGAGACACGGCCCAGACUCCUACGGGAGGCAGCAGUAGGGAAUCUUCCGCAAUGGGCGAAAGCCUGACGGAGCAAUGCCGCGUGAGUGAUGAAGGUUUUCGGAUCGUAAAGCUCUGUUGCCAGGGAAGAACGCUUGGGAGAGUAACUGCUCCCAAGGUGACGGUACCUGAGAAGAAAGCCCCGGCUAACUACGUGCCAGCAGCCGCGGUAAUACGUAGGGGGCAAGCGUUGUCCGGAAUUAUUGGGCGUAAAGCGCGCGCAGGCGGUCAUGUAAGUCUGGUGUUUAAUCCCGGGGCUCAACCCCGGAUCGCACUGGAAACUGCGUGACUUGAGUGCAGAAGAGGAGAGUGGAAU